UGGGGUGUAGCCAAGUGGUAAGGCAGCGGUUUUUGGUACCGUGUAUCGCAGGUUCGAAUCCUGCCACCCCAGCCA
RNAcentral lists this transfer RNA (75 nucleotides) under Roseovarius sp. RNAcentral's name for it is "tRNA-Gln". It matches the Rfam family "tRNA". From Rfam's summary of the family: Transfer RNA (tRNA) molecules are approximately 80 nucleotides in length. Their secondary structure includes four short double-helical elements and three loops (D, anti-codon, and T loops). Further hydrogen bonds mediate the characteristic L-shaped molecular structure. tRNAs have two regions of fundamental functional importance: the anti-codon, which is responsible for specific mRNA codon recognition, and the 3' end, to which the tRNAs corresponding amino acid is attached (by aminoacyl-tRNA synthetases). tRNAs cope with the degeneracy of the genetic code in two manners: having more than one tRNA (with a specific anti-codon) for a particular amino acid; and 'wobble' base-pairing, i.e. permitting non-standard base-pairing at the 3rd anti-codon position. The record is from RNAcentral. Lineage: Bacteria; Pseudomonadati; Pseudomonadota; Alphaproteobacteria; Rhodobacterales; Roseobacteraceae.